RNAcentral lists this long non-coding RNA (497 nucleotides) under Lupinus angustifolius (narrow-leaved blue lupine). RNAcentral describes it as "long non-coding RNA (LANG_LNC001328)". Lineage: Eukaryota; Viridiplantae; Streptophyta; Magnoliopsida; Fabales; Fabaceae. The record is from RNAcentral.
AUUGCUUAUCUUUUUAAAAAAAAAAUAAAGUCCAUCUAAAUAAUACGAUAUUUGCCUGAGUGUGCGAAAAAAUGAUAAGGGCAAUGGGAUAUACAAGUAAAGGUCAACCACAAGUUCUCAUAUAAGUUCAAGUAUAAAUGACUAAUAUAUAGAAAUAUGUAUUAUAUAUUACACUGAAAAAGGUAUAAGAAGAAAUGAGUUAAGAUGGAUCCUAUCUCAUAACCCAAAGAUGGAGGAGGAUAUGUAUAGUUUUACCAAAAUGAAACUUCAGCUUCUGAAGAGCUUUUUGGAAAAGCUUUUAUUUUUUUUAUAAUCUUCUUCUUUGCCUUUUUACUUGACAUUUUUACUUUGAUUAUCAUGUAUUCCAAGACUCUUGCAUAUUUCAGUAUACAUCCUAUCAUCUCCAACUCAAAAUCUUGACCCUUAAAUUCAUCAAAUCUCACUAUUUUAAGACUUGAUGAUAUGCAUGUAGGAACAAGUUGUGGAUUUGUCCAACU